AACGAAACAUAAAUCAGCUAUUCCUUUAGCUGGAACUCAGUAAUAUUAUUCACUUUGCAAUAGCUGGUUGUAUAAAUUAUUUGAAGUUGAGUGAUGUAUUGCAGCAAAUUCAGCUUCAUUUCUGUAUGUGAAGGACAUAGAUUUAGAUUGUCAAUGACUAACACGUGCGAUGUGUAAAAACCGAUACCUGAACUAUGAAUGCAGUUUCCUAAUUUGGUGAAUGAGUGUAUUGGAAUUGAUUUUUUCAAACACGACUUUACUGUGUGAAAAUAACUUAAAUGAUAGCCGAUCCUGGACAGCAUUACCAUUUGCAGUCAUAAAACAAAUUUGAAAACUGUGAAUAAAGUAUAUAAAUAAUUAGAAAUGCGCUUUUUGAAAGUCUAAAAGUUAAAUUACUUUUAUUUCGUGCUUUGCAUGUCUUCGGCAACAAGGCAUAAAGUAGUGACGAGAUAUUAUUUGUUAGUUGGUUCACAUGUGCGUUGAAUGAAUUGAUGGUUUUAUAAACAAAAUAUGACGAAAGCAUUCGCGACAUAACACCACCAAUGCUGAUAGAGUCGGAAGAAUUAUUGUUUCUUUCUCACCACGUUUUGCGUACGAUAAAAGGAAAGAAUAUACACACAAGGGACAAAGAACGAGUACGGAUUCAAAGCUUUUGUUGAUUAUCUAUCGAAAGAUAAGCAGUUCUUCAGCAGAUUACCUUCAUUUCAAUUGGAAAGAGUGCCAAUGCUUAUGAUAACUUAAUAAGAAGAGUAACGUUCUUGAUAAGAAGAGUGCCUUAUUGAUAUGUAAUUACUGAUUACGUCACAAAUUCGAUCGAGUAGCACAUUCAAAUACACGGUUAUAAUGUCUUCCGCUCUGCUAGAGGCACGGUCAUACCGGCCGUUUAAGUCCAGUGAAGAGUAUUUAUAUGCUAUGCGGGAAGACCUGGCUGAAUGGCUAAACACGAUGUAUCCAGAAUUACACAUUAAUGUGAAUAACUUUAUGGAUCGACUAGAUACUGGUGUUGCACUUUGUAAGCAUGCUAAUAAUGUUCGACAAGCUGCCGAAGAAUAUGUUACGCGAAGACAAGCUCGCAACAAAUCCAUUACCAAAUCAAUAACAUCUGGCCUAGCCGGUCCGGUGUUGAGUAUGGGCAAUGUCCAGUUUUUGCCGGCAGCUAAAAGUGGCACAUUUUUCGCGAGAGACAAUGUUUCUAAUUUUAUCACUUGGUGUCGGAAAAGUUUACAAAUUUUUGAAUGCCUGCUGUUUGAAACCGAUGACUUAAUUAUGCGAAAAAAUGAGAAGCAUGUUAUACUGUGUCUUUUGGAAGUCGCCCGACGUGGAGCAAAAUUCGGUAUGCUUGCCCCGAUGUUGGUUCAAAUGGAAAGACAAAUCGAUAGAGAGAUUGCUGCUGAUAAUAAAGCCAAUGCCAUUUGCAGUGAAGUAAAAAUUGAUGACAAUGUUCGUAUCUCCGUAACAGGAGUAGAAAUGGAUUUAUUCGAUUCUGAGAGUGAAGAAGAAAAUGACACCUGUAGCCCCAUGCUAAUGUAUGGUCCACAUCAACAAAUCAUCACAAACGAUUUAAAAAGUUUAGAUGAAAUGGUUCGUGAUCUCGUGGAAAAAUGCACCUGUCCUUCGCAGUUUCCAAUGGUUCGUGUGUCCGAGGGAAAAUAUCGUAUUGGUGAUACCAAAGUACUGAUCUUUGUUCGGAUACUGAGAUCGCACGUCAUGGUUCGAGUCGGUGGUGGCUGGGAUACAUUAUCGCACUACUUGGACAAACAUGAUCCUUGUCGAUGCAAGGCACAGCAUCGCUCUUCUGUGGCUGCACGACUAAUUACUAAGUCGAAUCAACCAAAAAAUGGCAUAGAAUUACAUAGAGCUCAAGUUGUGUAUGAAAGGUUGGCAGUGCCAAUGUGGAAACAACAGAACGAUUCUCAGCAGUGUUCGCCUAAUUUGGAUAGUAAUAGCAGUACUACGUCCACACCAGUUCGUACUCGCAGUCGUAGCCGGAGUCCAGCUCAAUACAAAACUAAUCACAGCCAUAAUGCUAAAAUUACGGUCUAUGAAAAAGGAUUCAACGUUGAUUCGACAAAUCUGACUUGGCGUUCACCUUCUCCUAAUCCUCGGCAAUUGGAAGCAAAGAAGAAGCAAAACACGAAAGAACUAUCACAUAAACCGGAGCCUAAAGCUAAUACGAAUCAAGCGUCAGUUCAUUUCGAAUGCGACUUGAAUGAUUUCGUGAACGAAGCAAAGCUUGAGAACGUUGCUGAAGAUAAAUAUAAUAUGUAUGACAACGUAAGCGACAACGGAAGUGAAAUAAGCGAUGAAGGUUAUCGUAGCUUGGGGAUCAUACAUUCACAAGGACCACAAAAACGGGUGCCAUUUAACAAUCAAACGAUAAAUAAAGAUACUAAAAGUGGAGUUGUCAUUGAUAAAACAACCAGUCACUCAAAUACUUGUUCAAGUCAACCAACAGACAAUAAAUUCGAAGAAUCUGGAUUAAAUAUUACUGAAACCGAAAUCACCAUCAACAUUGAUAAUAGUAUUAAUUUCCCAGAGGCAGAACUUCCAGUGGUUUAUGACAACGAAGCAUCUGCUUUUAAGAACAUGAUAAGCAGUAAAAUUCCAGUUUCUCCAGAGCUAUCAAGACGCAAAAAGGCAGAAAACGCCUCAUCGCUUACGGUUGGAAAGCUAACUGCAAUAAAUCGAAAAAUUCCAACCUAUCGUUCCAUGCGAAAAACCAACCAGUGCUUAGAAGAUAAGGAUACUUGCAACAAUAGUACGGUUACACAUAGACAAACUAUGUUAGCAGAUACCUUCGAAACAAAACCAAUUAGUGUAGGAACCGUAUCCUCUAGGAAUUCUCCAUCAAGAUCACCUGUUUGUGACAAAAAUUCUAGCAAGGCACAUGGCAAUUUCAAUAGCACAAUAUCGAACAAGCAGGGACACUGUUCUAAUUUAGCACAACAAUUGAUUGAUGCCGCUGCCAAUGGACAAAAUGAUUCUCAAAUUAUAUUUAAAGUGAAGGAGCUACUCUCCAAAUACUCCAACGAUGCACCACAAUCAAAUGACUUCACCGAAGAAUGGGUAACAAAUAAUAAAACAACUAAUUAUAACUCCAAUCAUGAUUUAAAGCAGUGCUGUAAUAUGUUAACUACAUCAGAAGCAGAUAGUUGCAAAGAAGUUUUACCGAUGACGUCUCCUCGUCGAGAUAAAGGCAUAUCCAAAAUACCAACUCCAGUUCUUCCAAACACUGGACCUUUAUGAAAUAAAUAUGAUUACAUACUGGCAAUUAAUCAUGCUAAGCAUGUUUCAAAGGAGCGCAAACGUAUAGCAGAUAUUGUGUUAAAAAUGAAUCCAUUUAUUUUCGACAAACCAUCAUCUAGCGGAAUCAUGAAAGCACAUAUUCCUUACAGGAAUUGGUAACAUCUUAAAUGAAAGAACCCAGAACAACUCGUAAUGUAGCAGCAUUCCAGUCAUUCGUGAAAAAUUUCUGAAUAUUUUAAAAACCCGAAAAGUCAUAUCAAAGAACAUAAUUCCAUUUACAUUUAAUGAUUACAUUUUAAUGAUAAAUGCUAAAUACUUGAAUGUAUGUUUAUUGACUGUGAGACUUUAUUUUUAGGGGUGUUUCUGACGUAGGACUACAUCUUUGAUUUCUAUACUGGGGUGCACUUUAGAAUAACGAAAGGGAACCUGUAACGAAAAGCUCGCUUAUUACUCAGUCAUCCCUCAAUAGAUUGUAGAGAUAUUGGUAUCAAUCGAUUGGAAAUUUUUCUAAGAAUCCAUUAAAAUGCAGAAGAGUUCCCUUAAAAAACUUUUGAAUAAUUGAAAAAUGUUAGGCAUUGUCUAACUAGAAAUCCACGCUCUGUGAUUGGUCGGAAUAAAUAGUGCUAAUUUGCCGUA
Sabethes cyaneus is the source of this 3882-nucleotide RNA transcript. It is a transcript of the gene named GAS2-like protein pickled eggs, with no coding region annotated. The record is from RefSeq and is a predicted model, not a curated record. The transcript is spliced from 13 exons. Lineage: Eukaryota; Metazoa; Arthropoda; Insecta; Diptera; Culicidae.